GGUGAGGUUCCCGAGUGGCCAAAGGGAACAGACUGUAAAUCUGUCGGCUAAGCCUUCGGAGGUUCGAAUCCUCCCCUCACCACCA
Molecule: transfer RNA, 85 nt
Filed under: Candidatus Edwardsbacteria bacterium GWF2_54_11
Lineage: Bacteria; Candidatus Edwardsiibacteriota
Also listed under: 5 other names
Description: tRNA-Tyr
Rfam family: tRNA
About the family: Transfer RNA (tRNA) molecules are approximately 80 nucleotides in length.
Source: RNAcentral